Podarcis lilfordi (Lilford's wall lizard) is the source of this 73-nucleotide non-coding RNA. Lineage: Eukaryota; Metazoa; Chordata; Lepidosauria; Squamata; Lacertidae. The record is from the annotation of a GenBank genome assembly.
UGGAUAGCUCAUUUGGUUAGAGUGUGGUGCUGAUAACGCCAAGCUUGCAGGUUCAAAGCCCCUUAUGGGACAG